This 406-nucleotide ribosomal RNA is filed under the name uncultured bacterium. Its description in RNAcentral is "partial 16S ribosomal RNA". It matches the Rfam family "Bacterial small subunit ribosomal RNA", at positions 30 to 526 of the family's 1533-position model. The record is from RNAcentral.
AUUGAACGCUGGCGGCAGGCCUAACACAUGCAAGUCGAGCGAGCGGCGGACGGGUGAGUAAUGUAUGGGGAUCUGCCCGAUAGAGGGGGAUAACUACUGGAAACGGUAGCUAAUACCGCAUACCAUCAGAUGAACCCAUAUGGGAUUAGCUAGUAGGUAAGGUAACGGCUUACCUAGGCGACGAUCCCUAGCUGGUCUGAGAGGAUGAUCAGCCACACUGGGACUGAGACACGGCCCAGACUCCUACGGGAGGCAGCAGUGGGGAAUAUUGCACAAUGGGCGCAAGCCUGAUGCAGCCAUGCCGCGUGUAUGAAGAAGGCCUUCGGGUUGUAAAGUACUUUUGGCAGAGAAGCGGUAUCUGCAGAAUAAGCACCGGCUAACUACGUGCCAGCAGCCGCGGUAAUUC